UGUAAGGUAUAUUCACACAUGCACACACACACAUGCGCACGCACGCACGCAAACACACACACACACACUAACACAAUCUGUUAUUUGUGAAAGAUUAAAAUGUGUGUUUUGUAUUGUCUAUAGUUUGAUGUGUGUUUUGUCUUGUCUAUAGUUUGAUGUGUCUUGUCUUGUCUAUAGUUUUAUGUGUGUUUUGUCUCAUCUAUAUUUUGAGGUGUGUUUUGUCUUGUCUAUAGGUUGAUGUGUGUUUUGUCUUGUCUAUAGUUUGAUGUGUGUUUUGUCUUGUCUAUAGUUUGAUUUGGGUCUUGUCUUGUCUAUCGUUUUAUGCGUGUUUUGUCUUAUCUAUAGUUUGAUGUGUAUUUUGUCUUGUCUAUAGUUUGAUGUGUAUUUUGUCUUGUCUAUAGUUUGAUGUGUGUCUUGUCUUGUCUAUAGUUUGAUGUGUGUCUUGUCUUGUCUAUAGUUUGAUGUGUGUCUUGUCUGUAGAUUGAUGUGUGUCUUGUCUAUCGUUGGAUGUGUGUUUUGUUGUCUAUAGUUUGAUGUGUGUUUUGUCUUGUAUUUAAGUAGAAGUGUGUUUUGUCUUGUCUAUAGUUUGAUGUGUGUUUUGUCUUGUUUAUAGUUUGAUGUGUGUCUUGUUUAUAGUUUGAUUUGUAUAUUGUCUUGUCUAUAGUUUGGUGUGUGUGUGUGUGUCUUGUCUGUAGUUUUAUUUGUAUUUUGUCUACAGUUUGAUGUGUGUUUUGUCUUGUUUGUAGUUUGAUUUGUGUUUUGUCUCAUCUAUUGUUUGAUGUUUGUUUUUGUCUUGUCCAUAGUUUGUGUGUUUUGUCUUGCUUAUAGUAUGUUGUGUGUCUUGUUUUGUCUAUAGUUUGUGUUGUGUCUUUCUAUAGUUUGAUGUGUUUCUUGUCUCGUCUAUAGUUUGAUGUGUGUCUUGUCUAUAGUUUCAUGUGUGUUUUGUCUUGUCUAUAUUUUGAUGUGUGUCUUGUCCAUAGUUUCUGUGUUUUGUCUUGUCUAUAGUUUAUAUAUGUGUGUCUUGUCCUGUCUAUAGUUUGAUGUGUGUCUUGUCUAUCUUUGGAUAUGUGUUUUGUUUUGUCUCAUGUAUAUAGUUUGAUAUUUGUAUUGUCUUGUCUAUAGUUUGAUAUUUGUAUGGUCUUGUCUAUAGUUUUGAUGUGUUUUGUCUUGUAUAUAAUUAGAUGUGUGUCUUGUCCUGUCUGUUUUUUGAUGUGUUUUUUGUCUUGUCUAUCAUUGGAUGUGUUUUUGUUUAGUCUUGUCUGUAGUUUGAUGUUUGUCUUGUCUAUAGUUUGAUGUGUGCCUUGUCUUGUGUAUAAUUAGAUGUGUGUUUUGUCUAUUGUUGGAUGUGCUUUUGUCUUGUAUAUAGUUUGAUGUUUGUUUCGUCUUAUCUAUAGUUUGAUGUGUGUUUUGUCUUAUCUAUAGUUUGAUGUGUGUUUUGUCUUGUCUAUAGUUUGGUGUGUCUUGUCUUGUCUAUAGUGUGUCUUGUCUAUAGUAGUAUGUGUGUUUUGUCCUGUCUAUAGUGUGUCUUGUCUAUAGUGUUAUGUGUGUUUUGUCCUGUCUGUAAUUUGAUGUGUUUUGAUUUGUCUAUAGUUUGAUGUAUGUUUUGUCUUGUAUAUAGUUUGUGUGUCUUGUCUUGUCUAUAUUUUGAUAUGUGUCUUUUUGUUACGGCUUGGUAAUCGUGGAGGAGGAAUGAGGCGCAGGAAGCAGCGAACACAGGGUAGUGGUGUUUUUAAUAUACACUCACACAAAAAACAAAUGUUCCCACACACAGGGGAGAAAAUACAUACGGCAUCCAACAACGUCGACACGAACAUAAACCGUCUGACAAGAAACAAUCAUUAAUCCCGCACGAACAGGAGCGGGCCAGCUAAAGUAAAUAGCCCCUCUAAUGGCUAAUUGACCACAGGUGUCACAAAAUAAAAAAAGGGAAAAGCAAAAGGGAAUCGGUGGCAGC
Molecule: long non-coding RNA, 1954 nt
Filed under: Salmo salar (Atlantic salmon)
Lineage: Eukaryota; Metazoa; Chordata; Actinopteri; Salmoniformes; Salmonidae
Description: lncRNA (ENSSSAG00000108541.1)
Source: RNAcentral